Loxodonta africana (African savanna elephant) is the source of this 5030-nucleotide long non-coding RNA. RefSeq lists it as uncharacterized. NCBI's taxonomy places the organism in Eukaryota, Metazoa, Chordata, Mammalia, Proboscidea, Elephantidae. The transcript has 4 exons. The record is from RefSeq and is a predicted model, not a curated record.
CAGUUACUCCCGGAAGCGCCGGGACGGGUGGUGAGGGGCCCGGGCGGAAUGGCGCGCCUUAGAGCGGACGGUGUUCGUGCUGCUUUCCGUGCCGUGGUUUCUGAAAGGCGAGACGCCCCUCCUGUGCUGUCCUCAGAAGGGCUCUUCAGAGACCGCACCCCUAGUUUGCGGAGCAGCAGAGCCUGCCCCAGUCUGGACUAGGGACUUUAUUUCUUCCACUCUCACCACUGGCUGAAGGCAGACUCCUGUCUCCACAGACUAAAGAGGAAUUAUCAAAAUGAGCUCGAAACUCUAGAUUUGAGUUAAGUAUCAUAAAUUAACACAGAGAAAUACAACUUUAACACAAAGACCUGUUUGGAGCCCCAGGUGGAAUUAAAAAAAAAAAAACUUGAACAGAGGGAGUGAUAAAGUUUUCCUUCUUUUGCCACCCUCUCUCGGUGGUCCCAAGCUUUCUCAUCUCCCACCUCACAAGACUGUAUCAACUGCUUUGAGACUUUUAGAAUAAAGAUCCCCAGGCAUAUCACUGCUGUUACCCUGUGAGGAUUUCCCCAGUGCUGGGUUAGACUAAGACAGAAUCCUUCCAAGGCUUCCAGGGCCAGUGUACUGGACGGUCAGCACAGGGAGCCUCAGAGCCCACUUCAUUUUUCCUGCAGUUGGGCACGACCCCAGGGACAUGACCCUUGAGAGUGCUGACACUUCCUGAAGCCAGUGACCCUCCCCCUGGGCUUCUCUCUGCCUGGGUCUCAGAGUCUCUGAGGCCAACUUGUACCCUCGGAAGUGUUUCUGCUGAAGGACACGUAAACAGCACUGUGGAUUUGUGUCCUGCAGUCUGCAAAACUGCCUCCCCUGAGUGGGGUGAGGAGCUACUGAAAUACUGAAAUCACUGAAACUAGCAGAAGCCACAGUUCAUGGUCCUGGGAGAAAACUGGGAAGGACGGAGAGGUGAAGAGGCUAUAAAGGCCCAGUCGUGAAGGCGACCAUGGGCCAGGAUGUCCGGAAGUCGCAAAGCUGACCAAUGCUGAGUGCCCUAAAACCUGCCACUCCUGUGCCCAUCUUUUCUUUCAAUGGACAAAGUCUUCCCCUGCUCUUAUGUGCCUGGGCUGGAAGGGCCUUUGACUUAGAACAUGAAGCAGCCUCCAGAGCCUCUUGGGGCAAGUGAUGGUCAAGGAGGCUCUGCCUAACCCCACCCUGCCCUUCCCAGUUGUCAGAGGACCAGGAAUUUCAGUCUUCCAGCUCCUGGGCUGAUCUAGUGACUUGUAACAGGAUUUCGCUGGAACUGGAAGGUGUUGAAGACAGGAAGUACUCCUGGGUUUCUUCACCCAGCUGAAUGCCUAGUUCCUGGUCUUAUUACACGGCCUACAUUCAGGAUAAGAAGAGGCGUUUGGAGCUUUACGCAGGACCUCUUAGCAGAGGUUUCUGUUCAGGAGCGAAGAGGUAAAAAGAAAGCAGUGUCUACUAAGUCCUUUUCCAAGAGUCUCAGGAAAUUCUCACGAAGACCCUCUCAGGCGAGACGCCCCUCCUGUGCUGUCCUCAGAAGGGCUCUUCAGAGACCGCACCCCUAGUUUGCGGAGCAGCAGAGCCUGCCCCAGUCUGGACUAGGGACUUUAUUUCUUCCACUCUCACCACUGGCUGAAGGCAGACUCCUGUCUCCACAGACUAAAGAGGAAUUAUCAAAAUGAGCUCGAAACUCUAGAUUUGAGUUAAGUAUCAUAAAUUAACACAGAGAAAUACAACUUUAACACAAAGACCUGUUUGGAGCCCCAGGUGGAAUUAAAAAAAAAAAAAACUUGAACAGAGGGAGUGAUAAAGUUUUCCUUCUUUUGCCACCCUCUCUCGGUGGUCCCAAGCUUUCUCAUCUCCCACCUCACAAGACUGUAUCAACUGCUUUGAGACUUUUAGAAUAAAGAUCCCCAGGCAUAUCACUGCUGUUACCCUGUGAGGAUUUCCCCAGUGCUGGGUUAGACUAAGACAGAAUCCUUCCAAGGCUUCCAGGGCCAGUGUACUGGACGGUCAGCACAGGGAGCCUCAGAGCCCACUUCAUUUUUCCUGCAGUUGGGCACGACCCCAGGGACAUGACCCUUGAGAGUGCUGACACUUCCUGAAGCCAGUGACCCUCCCCCUGGGCUUCUCUCUGCCUGGGUCUCAGAGUCUCUGAGGCCAACUUGUACCCUCGGAAGUGUUUCUGCUGAAGGACACGUAAACAGCACUGUGGAUUUGUGUCCUGCAGUCUGCAAAACUGCCUCCCCUGAGUGGGGUGAGGAGCUACUGAAAUACUGAAAUCACUGAAACUAGCAGAAGCCACAGUUCAUGGUCCUGGGAGAAAACUGGGAAGGACGGAGAGGUGAAGAGGCUAUAAAGGCCCAGUCGUGAAGGCGACCAUGGGCCAGGAUGUCCGGAAGUCGCAAAGCUGACCAAUGCUGAGUGCCCUAAAACCUGCCACUCCUGUGCCCAUCUUUUCUUUCAAUGGACAAAGUCUUCCCCUGCUCUUAUGUGCCUGGGCUGGAAGGGCCUUUGACUUAGAACAUGAAGCAGCCUCCAGAGCCUCUUGGGGCAAGUGAUGGUCAAGGAGGCUCUGCCUAACCCCACCCUGCCCUUCCCAGUUGUCAGAGGACCAGGAAUUUCAGUCUUCCAGCUCCUGGGCUGAUCUAGUGACUUGUAACAGGAUUUCGCUGGAACUGGAAGGUGUUGAAGACAGGAAGUACUCCUGGGUUUCUUCACCCAGCUGAAUGCCUAGUUCCUGGUCUUAUUACACGGCCUACAUUCAGGAUAAGAAGAGGCGUUUGGAGCUUUACGCAGGACCUCUUAGCAGAGGUUUCUGUUCAGGAGCGAAGAGGUAAAAAGAAAGCAGUGUCUACUAAGUCCUUUUCCAAGAGUCUCAGGAAAUUCUCACGAAGACCCUCUCAGCCUGAACUGCCCCGAGAUCAGAGAACUGGAAGAGAAAAGCCUGACUGAGAUGAAAGGAGCAAAAGAGAAGGCAAGGCCUCCUAAACCUGGUAAAGACAGCCAGAGUACAGAUAACCAAAGGUUGAGGGUAGGAAGGGGCAGCUUGAGGCCCAGGCUCUGCAGGCCCAGAAAAGCCCAAGUCCCAUCCUCAAUAUCAAGCUCCAGGGCCUGGGAAGCCCUGGAAGUGCCAGAGGUAUGUCCACCCUGGGAAAUGAAACCCCAGUUGGCACAGGGAAGCCCUCAGGGGUAAGGAAGGAUAGACAGGGACUCCAGGUCAGGCACCUCCACCUGCAGGCUGUCCUACUUUUAUUUCUCAGAGUGGAAGUGAGGGGUCCUAUAUGGGACUGGUUGGGGUUGAUGGCAGCAAGGGUUCUGAAGUGGGUAAAUUCUGCAGUCUCCUGAUAAAGAAACAGAAAGACUGAAAUGCUCAGAGAUACUGAGUGAGAGGGGUCUUGCAUUCCCAUCCUAUGCAGAGGCUGCCUGGGAGGUCCACCUGUCUAAAGACCUUGUGGACAAAAUCUUCUUUAUCUUUAAAAGAUGUAUCUUUCCAGUUAACUUCCUCUAUGUUGAGUCCUGAAAAAAGGCCUACAAUGUAUACCGUGGGUUUUCCAGUAGAGCAACAAGGGGAGGAACGUGGUAGUGGGACAUCAGAGAAAGAACUGUCUAAUGGUCCACUUGUUACUUAAUGAAUUGCACAUGGUGUCCAGCAUUCUUCCUUACCCCGAAGACAUGUACAUGCAGUAGAUGUUUGAACAAUGACUGCAUUAAUCCUGACAGAACUCUUUUUGGCCAUUUCCAGGUAUAGAGACCAGAAGAGGUCAUUAGCUCCAAGAACAAGCAAGAAAUUUGCUGAGACCUUUGUUCCAUCUCUGAGUUUGCUCUUCACCCAGUGGUGAAAGUCUCUGAAUCCAGUAUUGAUGACAGUGUUUUGCCUAUAUAAAAUAACAGCCAAUAAAACUGUUUUAAAUAUAUACAUAUAUAUAUUUCUAUGAUUUUUUUUUACUUUGAAAACUCUUGUAUUCUUAUUAUAACACAUUUAACAACACAGAUCUUUAUAAGAAUUAUAAUAAGAGCUAUCCCCACAUGUGUAAAUUUUACCUGCUUCUCCAAGGUGUCCAUGUUCAAAGACACAUGUGUACCUCUUCACACAUUCCUGUUUGCUGGAACACAUAUGCAUAGUCACAGGUACACACGUAGCUUUAUGGUUUGUUUGCUUUUCUGGAGAUUAGGUCACACUCUACCCACAUGUUUCUCUGCACCAUUCUUCACUUGACAAUUUAUCUUGGUUCCCAUAAGUCAGUAGCCAUGGCAGUAACGCUAUCUUUUUGGUUCUUCUAAUUUUUAACUCAUAUAUAAACGGGAACAUACCAAAAAAACAAAAAACCCGAACUCACUGCCAGCAAGUUGAUUCCGACUCAUAGUAACCCUAUAGAACAGAGUAGAGCUGCCCAUGGGAUUUCUAAGGAGCAGCUGGUGGAUUUGAACCACCAAUCUUUUGGUUAGCAAGCGAGCUUUUAGCCACUGUGCCACCAGGGCAGUACACACUGUCAACAGUCACAUACAACUCUACAGAAAUGAAAAGACAUAUCAUCAAUGCUUUUGAAGCAUACUGUUUCUAUAUGUUUUAACUCUCCUCUGCCUGUCUUUUCCGACAAGUGAAUCCAAGGGAAUUCACACUAAGAAUCUGUUAAGUUUAUCUCAUUAUCCUUGCUUAAACCGUUAAACAGUUAUAAAACUCUGCAGAUUCCCUAUUUAAAUUACACGUUCAUGAAGAAACGUGCAUUUUCUUCCUGAAAUAAUACGAUAAAUUCACAUUAUCAAGGUUGAGGAAAUCAGUGUUGUUUCCAUGUCCCAGUGGUAGACAUUAAUUCAGCAGUCAAUUAACAAAAAAUGUUUUAACAGAAUUAUUUAAACUGUGAAUUCCUCUGAGAUUGAAAAUAUACCAAGUAUAAAUGCAACACUUUGCACUGGGUUUUCUCCUCGAAAUGAACACAUUUUUCUUUCAAGUUUAUUUUUCAUGUCCUUUGGUACUAAGUACUUCUCUUUAAGACCUCAACUAGAAGCUGGGAAGGCUUAUCUCCUGAGAA